This 512-nucleotide long non-coding RNA is filed under the name Pan troglodytes (chimpanzee). RNAcentral describes it as "long non-coding RNA NONPTRT005941". The record is from RNAcentral. Lineage: Eukaryota; Metazoa; Chordata; Mammalia; Primates; Hominidae.
GCACGUGGCUGCCAGGACCCCACCUCAGUGCAUGGGAGUCAGGGCAGGCAUCUCAGGAGGGGAUCGCUUCAGUUCAGGAGUUCACGAUGAGCCUGGACAACAUGAUGAGACCCCUGUCUUGACAAAAAAAUACAAAAAUUAUCUGGGCAUGGUGGCACGUAUCUGUAGUCCCAGCUACUUGGGAGGCUGAGUCCCAGGCGCUAAUUCAAAGAGGGGAGGUGGUGGAGGUGGGAGUGGGGCUGGGGCACUUUCUCUUAGAUCUGCCCGGAUGUGUCCAGAGCUUCCAAGGACUGUCUGUUCCUGGCUUCUUCCUUAACUUGUCAUCAGAGUCAGGACCGUAACAAGGGGCAGAGGUGACUCUGGUGUCCUCUCUCGCCUUACCCUUAGUGACCCUCCAGGAAGCCAGAGAAGUUACCCCAAAUCGCAGGACAUGGGAAGGAAGGGCCAGAGAUGCCAGGGAGCACCGCAGCCAUGGAGGCAAACAGCCCAAUGGCUGGGGAGGGAGAGGAGGU